GCCCGCUUAGCUCAGUGGUAGAGCGCGUCACUAGUACCUCCUGCUGAUAGCAGACGCCUUCGGGCAUGACGAGGUCGGUUGUUCGAUCCAGCCAGUGGGCA
RNAcentral lists this transfer RNA (101 nucleotides) under Malassezia cuniculi. RNAcentral's name for it is "tRNA-Thr". It matches the Rfam family "tRNA". Rfam says of the family: Transfer RNA (tRNA) molecules are approximately 80 nucleotides in length. Lineage: Eukaryota; Fungi; Basidiomycota; Malasseziomycetes; Malasseziales; Malasseziaceae. The record is from RNAcentral.